This 20-nucleotide small RNA is filed under the name Arabidopsis thaliana (thale cress). Its description in RNAcentral is "ATSL067600". The record is from RNAcentral. Lineage: Eukaryota; Viridiplantae; Streptophyta; Magnoliopsida; Brassicales; Brassicaceae.
CUUUUUUUUGGUUUUUUUUU